RNAcentral lists this microRNA (22 nucleotides) under Equus caballus (horse). RNAcentral's name for it is "eca-miR-9161". The record is from miRBase by way of RNAcentral. Lineage: Eukaryota; Metazoa; Chordata; Mammalia; Perissodactyla; Equidae.
ACGGGCCUCUAGGUCGCCUGGC